RNA transcript from Silurus meridionalis, 1015 nucleotides. It is a transcript of the gene named immunoglobulin lambda-1 light chain-like, with no coding region annotated. Lineage: Eukaryota; Metazoa; Chordata; Actinopteri; Siluriformes; Siluridae. The transcript is spliced from 3 exons. The record is from RefSeq and is a predicted model, not a curated record.
AGUGAUGUUCACCAUGACAAAAACCUCCUCACUGCUCACACUCACUUCUGCUUUCACACAACACGAGAAACAACAAAAACCUGAACUUCAAAUCACUGGAACUGAAGUGGAAACUCACUUGAUGUUUACUUUUAAUUCUUCAAAGAAUAAGAUCAAAUACUGUGUUGAUGUCUUGCUAAAAGGUGAAACACUGCCACAGUCUGAGGAAGUUUCCACUCAGGAGCAGUUCUUCAUUAAAGACCUCUCUACAUUUGCUUGUAUUCAAACACACUCUUCCAGUCACUGCUAAUGAGAAGCACUUCCAUUGCUUGAUGCUCCCACCAUCAUGCUUCAUCACUGGAAUACGAUUAGCCAGUUAAUAAACAGAUCCUGGAUUAUGAUAGACAUCAUUCAUGGAAGUUCAGACUUCAGAGAUCAAAUUUUUCCUUCAUCAGAACACAGAAUGUGUUUCCUCAUGUCCUUCUGUCCAGUCACUGAACCUUAAAGUCCUGAUUGAUGGAGCAUGUUUAAGAUAAGAUGACCUUUCGAAGGUUCUGUCCUCUCUGUGAAGGAAUUCUAAAUAUAUAAGUAAAGUCAUCAUUAAAAUCACCUCACUAUCCAAUGUCCUUCAAACCUGAUUACUGAGUUUGGCCAGACAGCCGGCUCUAAGAAGAAUCCUGGUAGUUCCAAACAUCUUCUGUUUCACAAUGAUGUCAAGUAAUAAUGUCCAAAAGGACAUGGAAUGGGAUCUUAAGGGUGCAGGAAUGUGUGCUGAUUGUAGACAGGAGAAGAAAGAGCUGAAGUCUGGAGGAUGUUUCAGUUCUUCUGCUUUCACUUCUGUAUCUGAGGAGGUUUUUGUACGGGUGAGGACGCUGAAUGAAUCACUGUGGUAUUCGGCCAAGGAACAAAGCUGAUCGUCAGCGACGCUGCUCUCCCGGCUCCUGUUCUGAACCUUCUUCCUCCGUCCAGUGAAGAGCUGAAGUCUACAAAAGCCACUCUGGUGUGUUUGGCCAACGACGUGGCCGGUGGUUUUGCU